RNAcentral lists this unclassified non-coding RNA (245 nucleotides) under Capronia sp. RNAcentral's name for it is "partial contains 5.8S ribosomal RNA, internal transcribed spacer 2, and large subunit ribosomal RNA". The record is from RNAcentral. Lineage: Eukaryota; Fungi; Ascomycota; Eurotiomycetes; Chaetothyriales; Herpotrichiellaceae.
CGCACAUUGCGCCCUUUGGUAUUCCGAAGGGCAUGCCUGUUCGAGCGUCAUUAUCACCCCUCAAGCCUGGCUUGGUCUUGGAUUCCAUCAUAAUAGGUGGACCUUAAAGAUAACGACGUUGGUGGUCGACUUCUCGGUGCAACGAGCCUCCUUUGGCACGUAUCGCAGAGGCUGGUUACCUCGGUCUUAACGAUAAUUCUUUUGAGAUUGACCUCGGAUCAGGUAGGAAUACCCGCUGAACUUAA